RNAcentral lists this transfer RNA (59 nucleotides) under Pterolebias longipinnis. RNAcentral's name for it is "tRNA-Cys". The record is from RNAcentral. Lineage: Eukaryota; Metazoa; Chordata; Actinopteri; Cyprinodontiformes; Rivulidae.
AGUUCCGAGAAUUUUUAGAUUGCAAAUCUAAAGCAGCAGAUUGACUUCAGCCGGGGCUU